RNAcentral lists this ribosomal RNA (301 nucleotides) under uncultured bacterium. RNAcentral describes it as "partial 16S ribosomal RNA". It matches the Rfam family "Bacterial small subunit ribosomal RNA", at positions 509 to 807 of the family's 1533-position model. The record is from RNAcentral.
CAGUAGCCGCGGUAAUACGAAGGGUGCAAGCGUUAAUCGGAAUUACUGGGCGUAAAGCGUGCGUAGGCGGUUUGUUAAGUCUGCUGUGAAAUCCCCGGGCUCAACCUGGGAACUGCAUUGGAAACUGGACGGCUAGAGUGUGUCAGAGGAUGGUGGAAUUCCCGGUGUAGCGGUGAAAUGCGUAGAGAUCGGGAGGAACAUCAAUGGCGAAGGCGGCCAUCUGGGACAACACUGACGCUGAAGCACGAAAGCGUGGGGAGCAAACAGGAUUAGAGACCCCCGUAGUCCCUGUCUCUUAUAC